AUGAACGCUAGCUACAGGCUUAACACAUGCAAGUCGAGGGGCAGCGCAGUGUAGCAAUACAUGGGCGGCGACCGGCGCACGGGUGCGUAACGCGUAUCCAACCUUCCCGUUACUCAGGGAUAGCCUUCCGAAAGGGAGAUUAAUACCUGAUGGUGUUCAAAUUCCGCAUGUUAUUUGAACUAAAGAUUUAUCGGUAACGGAUGGGGAUGCGUGACAUUAGGUAGAUGGCGGGGUAACGGCCCACCAUGCCUACGAUGUCUAGGGGUUCUGAGAGGAAGGUCCCCCACACUGGAACUGAGACACGGUCCAGACUCCUACGGGAGGCAGCAGUGAGGAAUAUUGGUCAAUGGUCUGACGACUGAACCAGCCAUGCCGCGUGAAGGUGACGGCCCUAUGGGUCUUAAACUUCUUUUGCAAGGGAGCAAUAAGGUCUACGUGUAGAUCGAUGAGAGUACCUUGCGAAUAAGCAUCGGCUAACUCCGUG
RNAcentral lists this ribosomal RNA (484 nucleotides) under uncultured bacterium. RNAcentral describes it as "bacterial SSU rRNA". It matches the Rfam family "Bacterial small subunit ribosomal RNA", at positions 29 to 507 of the family's 1533-position model. The record is from RNAcentral.